CUCUGGGUAGGUUCACCACCUGCUACCUCCUAUAGCAGCUGUCUGGAGCAGUUUUAGUCACUUCUUUUAUUUACAAACUUUCAUUUUGCUCAACUCCUCUUCACAGACCAACAGGACUUUCAGAGACUAAAAAUUGUGCAGCUGCCUCACUGCAGGUCUUGUGGCCCCUGGCCUGGAGGAGUGGAUAGACAUUACACGUCAUCAGACUGGACAGUGAAACACCAUAAAUCUGCACAAGGGCAUUGAAGUUCCCAAUUAUGUGAUAGUGGCAUACAAAAUCCACUUCUACCUCUCUGUAUCUACUAAUAUUUUCAAAACAUUCAGGAACCAGUUCUCCUUGAAGACAUGAAAAUGUUUUUGGAAUGGUAAUAUCUGCAAUGUGUAGCAAAUGGAUAAGGUUGGAUCUUCAUCUUCUGUUUAUUAAGGUGGAACCUAACCUGGUUGACUGUCUCCUGUCUCAUUAAUUCUUAUUAGGGGCAGAAUCCACUUCAUGCCAUGCUUUUUCUUGUGGGACUUAUCCACUGAAGUGAGUAA
Molecule: long non-coding RNA, 534 nt
Filed under: Anas platyrhynchos platyrhynchos (common mallard)
Lineage: Eukaryota; Metazoa; Chordata; Aves; Anseriformes; Anatidae
Description: lncRNA (ENSAPLG00000021966.1)
Source: RNAcentral